This is a long non-coding RNA of Lycium ferocissimum, 599 nucleotides long. RefSeq lists it as uncharacterized. The transcript is spliced from 2 exons. Lineage: Eukaryota; Viridiplantae; Streptophyta; Magnoliopsida; Solanales; Solanaceae. The record is from RefSeq and is a predicted model, not a curated record.
UUGAUGAUGGUGAAUCAAGACAGAAGGUAAGAGAAGAUGCUUACUUCUUCUAAUUAAUUGUUGCAGUAGCUCGAAGAUUUACCUCUCAAAUGUUAUACCUUCUUUGAUUGAAUUUCUUGGUGAAGCAUUCAUUUUAUCUCUUAUUCCUUUGAAUGCCAUAUCGAUUAAGCUGGAAUGUUUGAUAAAUCAUCAGACGCUUCUAAUUUGGAUGGUCUAAAUGUUAAAUUUGUUAUUCGCUGCACUACUAUUGAUAACUGAUGCAGUAGAAUUUGGCCUCUUUUCAUAUAUUCAGAACUCUUCACUCUAGCUGUAAUAAUUACACUUUUCUUUGUAUAGGUAGUUGUUAAGAGUCGAGAUCCUACACCAAGAGAGAAACAUGUAUAGGAUGUUGAAAAGGGAUGAGAUCCAACAGCAAGUGAUAUAUGUUUCCAAGUCCAUGUACAUGAUUGAUGGCCUCCAACCAAGCAUUAGCUGGCUUUUUUGUUAGGGCUUUAUUUUGGUGUUGUGGAUGUAUUGAACUUAAACACAAUUGUUAAAUACAUUAUGCUAUCUCCUUUAGACCUUGUAUAUUAAUUUAUAUGAAUUUCAUUUAUUUUUAA